UGGGGUGCUCGAGUGGCGAACGGGUGAGUAACACGUGAGUAACCUGCCCUUGACUUUGGGAUAACUUCAGGAAACUGGGGCUAAUACCGGAUAGGAGCUCCUGCUGCAUGGUGGGGUUGGAAAGUUUCGGCGGUUGGGGAUGGACUCGCGGCUUAUCAGCUUGUUGGUGGGGUAGUGGCUUACCAAGGCUUUGACGGGUAGCCGGCCUGAGAGGGUGACCGGCCACAUUGGGACUGAGAUACGGCCCAG
This 249-nucleotide ribosomal RNA is filed under the name uncultured Actinomycetales bacterium. RNAcentral's name for it is "partial 16S ribosomal RNA". It matches the Rfam family "Bacterial small subunit ribosomal RNA", at positions 83 to 334 of the family's 1533-position model. The record is from RNAcentral. Lineage: Bacteria; Bacillati; Actinomycetota; Actinomycetes; Actinomycetales.